AGGCGAGCUAAUUAAAUAAGGGGUUCCUGAUCAGUUUCAGGGCUCAAGUUGUGCUGCAUGCAUAUAUAUAUAUAUAUAUGCAUGGUAUAAGACGGCCUCGCUUUUGUUUAGGAAUUCCUUCAAGUUGUUGAUCAAAUAUUCAGCAGGCCAGAUUCAUCUAUCUAAUUUUACCAAUGGCGGCCUGCACAAGGUGGAAAGUUUUCUUUCCAGUACUAAUUUUGUGCGUCUCCCUGCUGGGUAUGGCUGUGUCUGUGCGUGGAGAUGCAGCACUAAUACAAGAUGUGUGCAGCAAAACUUCGAGGCCUUUCUAUUGCAAAACGUGCUAUGAAUUAAACAGAAAAAGCUCACAAGAUCAGAAUGUGAAAGACCUUGGACGCACAUCCAUUGGGUGUGCUUCCUUAGAGUUUGAAAUAUUCCGAUCCACUUUACGUUCGCUUAUGAUUAAUCCCAAAAACCUGGGGCCGGGGUUACAGGACGCAUGCAAUCAUUGCAUUUCCUUGCUGGAGGAUGUGGAUAAAAAACUCCAGAACGCACUGCUGAAAUGGCAGCACGCAAGUUAUGAUAGCUCUAGCUUGCAGAUGUUCAUUGCUGCCAACAUUCUCGAUGAUUCAUGUGGCCGUGAGAUGAAGAAGUUCAAUCUCCCCAUGUCUCUAGCAGACAAGCUAGUUGCACUGGACGGUUUCAUUCAGGCCUCCAUUGGAGUCCUCGAUCAAAUUCAAUGAUUUGAUCAUGUAUAUAUAUAUACAUGUGCACCACCAAAAAAACCUGCUUCUUAUAUAGAUAGUCAUAUAAUUUUAUUCUCAAUCGAUCUGCAAUAAACGAAAGUAUUGUCCUUAA
Molecule: RNA transcript, 837 nt
Organism: Juglans regia (Persian walnut)
Lineage: Eukaryota; Viridiplantae; Streptophyta; Magnoliopsida; Fagales; Juglandaceae
Exons: 2
Source: RefSeq, a predicted model, not a curated record